UCAGCAGCCGCGGUAAUACGGAGGAUGCGAGCGUUAUCCGGAAUUAUUGGGUUUAAAGGGUGCGUAGGCGGAAUGGUAAGUCAGCGGUGAAAUACUGCAGCUCAACUGUAGUUGUGCCGUUGAUACUGUCAUUCUUGAGUAUAGAUGAGGUAGGCGGAAUGAGUAGUGUAGCGGUGAAAUGCAUAGAUAUUACUCAGAACACCGAUUGCGAAGGCAGCUUACUAAACUAUAACUGACGCUGAAGCACGAAAGCGUGGGUAUCAAACAGGAUUAGAUACCCUGGUAGUCCACGCUGUAAACGAUGAUUCCUGGUUGUUUGGGCGCVAGAGCUCAAGCGCUGCGC
This 343-nucleotide ribosomal RNA is filed under the name uncultured bacterium. Its description in RNAcentral is "bacterial SSU rRNA". It matches the Rfam family "Bacterial small subunit ribosomal RNA", at positions 508 to 852 of the family's 1533-position model. The record is from RNAcentral.